This 233-nucleotide ribosomal RNA is filed under the name uncultured bacterium. Its description in RNAcentral is "partial 16S ribosomal RNA". It matches the Rfam family "Bacterial small subunit ribosomal RNA", at positions 544 to 776 of the family's 1533-position model. The record is from RNAcentral.
UUCGGAAUUCCUGGGCGUAAAGCGCGUGUAGGCUGCUCGGAAAGUCGGAUGUGAAAGCCCUGGGCUCAACCCAGGAAGUGCACUCGAAACUCCCGAGCUGGAGUCCUGGAGAGGAAGGCGGAAUUCUCGGUGUAGAGGUGAAAUUCGUAGAUAUCGAGAGGAACAUCGGUGGCGAAGGCGGCCGUCUGGACAGUGACUGACGCUGAGACGCGAAAGCGUGGGGAGCAAACAGG